This is a long non-coding RNA of Cavia porcellus (domestic guinea pig), 1639 nucleotides long. RefSeq lists it as uncharacterized. The transcript has 2 exons. Lineage: Eukaryota; Metazoa; Chordata; Mammalia; Rodentia; Caviidae. The record is from RefSeq and is a predicted model, not a curated record.
CGCAUUGCGAAACGCCCUGGGAUGCGGUGCGAUUCCUCCCCCUGGUGGUAGCCUGAGGAGCAGCCGCCACGAGGCUAGAUUUCGAGCGGAGGAUUAUAGCUUGAAGUCCCGGAAAAAGAAGGGGAGGUCGUGCAUUGUUUGUGUUCCCCCUUGCUUCCUAUGAGAAUAAGACUGACCAUGUCAAGGGUAUAUUCUUUACCAACCUGCAACUGUUGACAACGGUGAUUUUCCAUUGUCCUCCACAGUCUUACUCAUUUUGAUUAGGGAGGAACCUGAAAUACCAGCAGGUCCACAUAAGUCUCUUCAUUCAUUCUCUACUGCCUUAUGCUGGUUAUUAGGGGAAAGUUGGAUGGAAAAGAUACUGUCUCUAGCCUCAACAGAGUUCCCAGACUCGCUGAGAAUUCACACAAAGGAAUAAUUACAACACAGUGAUGUGUGCUGCAGGGGGACAGUGAGUGUGGGAGUCUUGAAAAGGAACACCUGUCCGACAUUGGGGGCUAGGAGGCUAUGUCCUCACGCUUCCUAGAGAAAGUGAUGUCAAAAUCGAGCCCUGAAGGAAAGGACUUAGCCAUGACUACAGGACGGGUGAAGAAUGGUAAAUGCAGGGUUUGCGGACCACAGAGUGUGCUUGGUAAGAAUGGGGAGAGAAUUACCUUGGAUCCCAUCCUCCAAAAUCCUUACGCUUCCUUAAGAAAUUUGCAUCAUUACUGAGCUCAAAAACUUUCAACCGCUUUCUAGGACCUACUCAUGAGGUCCCAGUUUAGCCUGGAAUUCAAAGUCUUCCCCUACCACUCUGCCAGUGUGCUCAUGCCCCUGCCUGUGCCCCAGCCGCAGUGCUGCUCACCAUUCUCAGGAUGAAGCAGGUUCUCACUGUUCUCUCUGUUACCAGAAUUUUAAGGGGAAUAAAGUCCUGGCUUCCUGGGUCGCAACAGAUUAGGGUCAGCCACUCUUCCCAAACUGCCAAUCAAGGAGACUAGCAGUAGUGAAGGUAAGGAAGGGGGCUGUAGUCCGGAUGGCCAUGCCAGGACGAAAAGGAGGUUCGAGACCUGUCCUCAGGGAGCUGACCCAAACUUUGGCAUUUUAUAGAAAAAAGGGAGCAAAGGCAAGGGUUGGGUUGCACAGCAGCAAGAUGAUUAAUCCUGGUCAAGUUUCCAUCUCAAGGAUAGUGUGAUUUGGUUGAUUCGUAUCUCGAGCAAGGCUCUGGGAGUGCCGUACUGCUGGAGCGACAGUUUGAUCCCCAUCAUGCCACGAUGGAUUCUGCUGGGAGUGAUGUAGGACCACCAAAUGAUAUAGGGAAGUAAUAUAAUUCUCAACCUGCUAGGUGUCCAACAUGCCGACUUCAUGUUCCUCAAAUUGAAGAAUAAAUUCUAAGGAACAACAGAGUUGAACAGAAGGAAAUUUAUUCCUGAGAGUUAGGAGGGGCCCCAGAAAGUGGGUUGCCAAUGAGCUUUCUUCUCAAAGGAAGUUUUAUAGAGCAAAAUCUCAAGCUGGGUAUAAUAUGGGACAAAAACUAUGAUCAACCAAUAAGAUUAAAAGCAUAAGUAGCCAUGAAUAUAGCUCAAUGGCAUAGUGCCUGCCUGGCAAGCAUGAGAUCCCGAGUUCGAUUCCCAGUGCAAAAAAAAAAAAAAAAGUGUAUUCA